RNAcentral lists this ribosomal RNA (842 nucleotides) under Streptomyces bacillaris. RNAcentral describes it as "bacterial SSU rRNA". It matches the Rfam family "Bacterial small subunit ribosomal RNA", at positions 56 to 911 of the family's 1533-position model. The record is from RNAcentral. Lineage: Bacteria; Bacillati; Actinomycetota; Actinomycetes; Kitasatosporales; Streptomycetaceae.
UGCAGUCGACGAUGAAGCCGCUUCGGUGGUGGAUUAGUGGCGAACGGGUGAGUAACACGUGGGCAAUCUGCCCUUCACUCUGGGACAAGCCCUGGAAACGGGGUCUAAUACCGGAUAAUACUCUGUUCCGCAUGGAACGGGGUUGAAAGCUCCGGCGGUGAAGGAUGAGCCCGCGGCCUAUCAGCUUGUUGGUGGGGUAAUGGCCUACCAAGGCGACGACGGGUAGCCGGCCUGAGAGGGCGACCGGCCACACUGGGACUGAGACACGGCCCAGACUCCUACGGGAGGCAGCAGUGGGGAAUAUUGCACAAUGGGCGAAAGCCUGAUGCAGCGACGCCGCGUGAGGGAUGACGGCCUUCGGGUUGUAAACCUCUUUCAGCAGGGAAGAAGCGCAAGUGACGGUACCUGCAGAAGAAGCGCCGGCUAACUACGUGCCAGCAGCCGCGGUAAUACGUAGGGCGCAAGCGUUGUCCGGAAUUAUUGGGCGUAAAGAGCUCGUAGGCGGCUUGUCACGUCGGAUGUGAAAGCCCGGGGCUUAACCCCGGGUCUGCAUUCGAUACGGGCUAGCUAGAGUGUGGUAGGGGAGAUCGGAAUUCCUGGUGUAGCGGUGAAAUGCGCAGAUAUCAGGAGGAACACCGGUGGCGAAGGCGGAUCUCUGGGCCAUUACUGACGCUGAGGAGCGAAAGCGUGGGGAGCGAACAGGAUUAGAUACCCUGGUAGUCCACGCCGUAAACGUUGGGAACUAGGUGUUGGCGACAUUCCACGUCGUCGGUGCCGCAGCUAACGCAUUAAGUUCCCCGCCUGGGGGAGUACGGGCCGCAAGGCUAAAACUCAAAAGGAAU